GUGCUUGAGACCUCAACGUGAGGAAAGGGGGCGGUGACCAGGGCGCCAAUGAGCGCGCUACGGCAAGCGGCUAGCCCCAAAUGUCCCGACACGCAAACUUUCCGGAAGCUCCUUGAUCUCGAAGCUGAAAGGUUUUAGACGCGGAAGGGUGCACGCUGGGAGUAGUCUGAGCCCGUUGUAGUUAAGCUUUUCGCCGGGUUAUUUUUCAGAGGCGGCAGUGUAAGACUGCAUAACUCUGUAAUCAUAAAACUCCCCUAGCCCCACCUGUGAUUGAAUGGUCUCACUAAGUCCCCGAGUUGCCCAGGCUGAAUUUGAACCUAUGAUCCUCCUGGCUCAACCUCCCAGUGUCUGGAUUACAGGUGUGUGUCACCACACUCAGCUCAAUACAGUCCUUGGACUUUUGGGAUCAGCAGCCAAAGAGCCUGAAGCAACACUAACUUUGUUCAGGGCUCUUCAGUGCUUACACCUCAUAGGGGCACAGAUGGACCACCUUAUAGUGGUGUUCAAACUAGGGAAGUUGUGCGGUGGGGUUACACCAAGACACCCCAAAUGGUAUAUGAAAACAAUGUAUGUCAUUUAAAUAAAAUAACAUCUGUGUUUGAAAUUGUUCAAAAGUCCAAAGUCAAAAAAAGCGAGAGAAAAGUCCAUGGUCAUUCUUUAGGAAGUGCUUGGCUGUUGGGUAAAGGAGCACAUUCCAAUUUAUAAAUGUUUGUUCCCUGCUCUGAAAUUCACAGGCUGGAACAGGUCCUUGCACCAGGAUGUGGCUGUGUAGCUAUGAGAUGGAGCAGAGCUUGGGGUCUGGACAAAGAGUAGCAGAGCUCCAGAGGGUCUUGCUGUAUAGUUCAGGCUGGUCUUGAAUUCACUAUGGAUCCCAGACUGACUUCAAACUCAUGAGGAUCCUCCUGCCUCAGCCUCCUGAGUGCUGGAAUUACUGGCGUGCACCACCAUGCCCAGCUAUGCCUUUUAAAAAUCCCUUUUUAGUCGUGCUUCUUAUUUAGCUUGUUGAAGAAUUUAUCCUACUCCAUUACACUUUUAGUAUUGAGGAACUUGCUUGAUUUCAAAUGAAAACCUCAAAAAGAGAGAUGAGAGAGAAUAGGACUUAGUUUAUGAGUCUUUUCCAAUUUGCAACUCACCUGCAUUAAUCCUAAUAUUAGAUAAUAAAAGUGACAUUUGCUUCAGUAACAAUUAUAAUCAUUUACUACUCUCAAGCAACAUUUAUGCACAAGCAUAAAGAUUUCUGAGCCAACAAAAUAAAUGUUCCCAAAUUGGCUAAUCAUUAUUUAUGUACUAAACUAGGUGUGGUAGAGCAGGCCUUUAAUCCCAGCACUGGGGAGGCUGAGGCAGGAGGAUUGCCAUGAGUUCAAGGCCAGUUUGAGCCACAUAGUGAGUUCAAAGUCAGCCUGAACCACAAACCUGGAAAAACAAAAUAAGAACAACAAAACACCAAAGUUUAUGUACUUUACUCAUAACCUAGGCCUUCAAAAUUUCACUCUAAGUCUCUUUACUGUAAAUUUCUUUUAAAUGAUGAUUUGGUCAUAUGGAUUAAAAAUUAAAAUUAUUAUGGAUACACUUAAUUAUUUUUGACCACCUGAAAAGAGAUUUAAUGGACUAAAUGACAGAUCUAAAGAUGCUAUCAUAAUAUAGUAUAGAAAUAAGAAAAUGGGAAAUGGAAAAUGUUAAGAGAUGUGGAGAAUGGAAUGA
Non-coding RNA from Heterocephalus glaber (naked mole-rat), 1701 nucleotides. The record is from RefSeq and is a predicted model, not a curated record. Lineage: Eukaryota; Metazoa; Chordata; Mammalia; Rodentia; Bathyergidae.